RNAcentral lists this ribosomal RNA (889 nucleotides) under Chloroflexi bacterium enrichment culture clone B31129. Its description in RNAcentral is "bacterial SSU rRNA". It matches the Rfam family "Bacterial small subunit ribosomal RNA", at positions 8 to 916 of the family's 1533-position model. The record is from RNAcentral. Lineage: Bacteria; Bacillati; Chloroflexota.
AGAGUUUGAUCCUGGCUCAGGAUGAACGCUGGCGGCGUGCUUGAUACAUGCAAGUCGAACGGAGAGUGUAGCAAUAUACUUUUAGUGGCGAACGGGUGAGUAACGCGUUGGUGACCUGCCCCGAAGCGAGGGAUAACAGUUCGAAAGAACUGCUAAUACCUCAUGUGAUCACCGGUUUUAGAAUCUGGUGAUUAAAGGUGAAAAUCACUUCGGGAGGGGCCUGCGUCCCAUCAGCUAGUUGGUAAGGUAAUGGCUUACCAAGGCGAUGACGGGUAGGGGACCUGAGAGGGUGGCCCCCCACAAUGGAACUGAAACACGGUCCAUACACCUACGGGUGGCAGCAGUAGGGAAUAUUGCAAAUGGGCGAAAGCCUGAUGUAGCAACGCCGCGUGUGCGAUGAAGGUCUUCGGAUUGUAAAGCACUUUUUGGAGGGAUGAGGAAGGACAGUACCUCCAGAAUAAGCCUCGGCUAACUACGUGCCAGCAGCCGCGGUAACACGUAGGAGGCAAGCGUUAUUCGGAUUUACUGGGCGUAGAGCGCGUGCAGGCGGUUUGGAAAGUUGGAUGUGAAAGCUCCUGGCUCAACUGGGAGAGGUCGUUCAAAACUUCCAGACUUGAGAGUGGUAGAGGGAGGUGGAAUUCCGGGUGUAGUGGUGAAAUGCGUAGAUAUCCGGAGGAACACCAGUGGCGAAAGCGGCCUCCUGGACCACUUCUGACGCUCAGACGCGAAAGCUAGGGUAGCAAACGGGAUUAGAGACCCCGGUAGUCCUAGCUGUAAACGAUGUGAACUUGGCGUUGGUGGGUUUAAAUCCAUCAGUGCCGAAGCUAACGCGAUAAGUUCACCGCCUGGGGACUACGGCCGCAAGGUUAAAACUCAAAGGAAUUGACGG